Molecule: long non-coding RNA, 204 nt
Organism: Oncorhynchus masou masou (cherry salmon)
Lineage: Eukaryota; Metazoa; Chordata; Actinopteri; Salmoniformes; Salmonidae
Exons: 2
Source: RefSeq, a predicted model, not a curated record
UGUCUCAAUUUGCCACCAGCUGUGUUCACAAACCCACAGAAAGAUUCCUGUCCAGAUCCGACUCAGGACAACAGCAAAACUCUGGACCUGUCGAAAGUGAUCGAAUUGCUGAGUGACAAGAUUGAUCUUAAGAAGACUUUAGAAGAGAUGAUAAGUAAAUUACAACUAGCGAGUAAUAAAGCCGAUUAAUUGUCAAAAUGUCAA